This 58-nucleotide transfer RNA is filed under the name Stegodyphus mimosarum. It matches the Rfam family "tRNA", at positions 8 to 63 of the family's 71-position model. From Rfam's summary of the family: Transfer RNA (tRNA) molecules are approximately 80 nucleotides in length. Their secondary structure includes four short double-helical elements and three loops (D, anti-codon, and T loops). Lineage: Eukaryota; Metazoa; Arthropoda; Arachnida; Araneae; Eresidae. The record is from Rfam by way of RNAcentral.
UGGUGUAGUGGACAACACACUUGGCUCUUAACUAAGAGGUCCGAGGUUCGAAUCCUGG